RNAcentral lists this ribosomal RNA (1457 nucleotides) under uncultured Bordetella sp. Its description in RNAcentral is "partial 16S-23S ribosomal RNA intergenic spacer". It matches the Rfam family "Bacterial small subunit ribosomal RNA". Lineage: Bacteria; Pseudomonadati; Pseudomonadota; Betaproteobacteria; Burkholderiales; Alcaligenaceae. The record is from RNAcentral.
AGGGAGAGAGUUUGAUCAUGGCUCAGAUUGAACGCUGGCGGGUCUUACAUACACAAGUCUGAACGGCAGCACGGACUUCGGUCUCUGGUGGCAGGUGACAGAACAGGUAAUGCAUCGAACGUGCCUGGUAGCCGGGGAUAACUGCAUGAGCGUAGCUAAUACCGCCCAUACGCCCUUCAGGAGGAAGCAGGGGACCUUCGGGCCUCGCACUAGAGCAGCCAUUCUAUCGGAUUAGGAUUGGUGGGGUAACGGCUCACCAAGGCGACGAUCCGUAGCUGGUUUACCCGAGAAGGACGACCAGCCACACUGGGACUGAGACACGGCCCAGACUCCUACGGGGAGGCGAUGAGAAUUUUGGACAAUGGAAACCUGAUCCAGCCAUCCCGCGUGUGCAGAGAGGCCUUCGGGUUGUAAGCACUUUUGGCAGGAAAGAAACGGCCACGGGAUAAUACCCCGAUGCAACUGACAGUACCUGCGAAUAAGCACCAGCGCUCCGUGCCCAGCAGCCCGCGGUAAUACGUAGGAGUGCAAGCGUUAAUCGGAAUUACUGGGCGUAAAGCGUGCGCAGGCGGUUCGGAAAGAAAAGAUAUGAAAUCAGAGCUUAACUGAACUGUUUAACUACGAGCUAGAGUGUGUCAGAGGAGGUGGAAUUCACAUCAGCAACGGUGAAAUGCGUAAGUACUGGAGGAACACCGAUGGCGAAGGCAACAUCCUGAAGGAUAACACUGACGCUCAUGCGAAAGCGUGGGGAGCAAACCGGGAUUACGAUACCUGGUAUUACGCCCUAACGAUCAACCGCUGUUGGGGCCUUCGGGCCUUGGUAGCGCAGCUAACGCGUGAAGUUGACCGCCUGGGAAGUACGGUCGCAAGAUUAAAACUCAAGGAAUUGACGGGGACCCGCACAAGCGGUGGAUGAUGUGGAUUAAUUCGAUGCAACGCAAAAAACCUUACCUACACUUGACAUGUCUGGAAUCCCGAAGAGAUUUGGGAGAUGCUCGCAAGAGAACCGGAACACAGGUGCGGCAUGGCUGUCGUCAGCUCGUGUCGUGAGGAUAUUGGGUUAAGUCCCGCAACAAAGCAACCCUUGUCAUUAGUUGCUACGAAAGGGCACUCCAAUGAGACUGCCGGUGACAAACCGGAGGAAGGUGGGGAUGACGUCAGUCCUCUGGCCCUUAUGGGUAGGGCUUCACACGUCGCAUGCAAUGGUCGGGACGGUCGCCAACCCGCGAGGGAGCCAAUCCCGAAACCCGAUCGUAGUCCGGAUCGCGGUCUGCAACCUCGAGCUUCGUGAAGUCGGGAUCCGCUAGUAAUCGCGGAUCAACUGUCGCGGUGGUCCCGGGUCUUGUACUACCGCCCGUCACACCAUGGGAGUGGUUUUACCAAGUAGUUAUUUCGCCAUGCAGGAGGGCGAUUACCACGGUAGGAUUCAUGACUGGGGUGAAGUCGUAACAAGGUAG